UAUUAAGACACAGAAAAGUUUAAAUAACUGCAGAAAGCUAAUGAAUGAGAUGAGUAAUUCAAGACUAUCUAAAUUUAUUAGAAGAUCAUACAAUUCCCAAGAGCCAAUCUGAACUUAUACAUGAGAUAUUUGCAGCAUCAAAUUCAAAAUACUAAAAAUAGAAGAUAUAGUGAAAACUGGACACUUUUGUGUCUUCUUUUUCAAAUUAGAUCUCCUAGUGGUUACAAAUUUUUGAGAGAAUAUAACAUUCUUCCAUUGCCAUGUGUAAAUACAGUUCGAAGAAAUCUUUUAGCUGUUCAAGUUGGUUGUGGUUUUGACUUUAAACUUUUUCAAACUAUUAAAAAAAAGUUCACUACCAAAACUGAAAAACAGAAAAUAGGUGUUCUGUUAUUUGAUGAAGUUUUCUUGAGAGAGAGCAUAAGUGUUAACAGUCGCACUUUACAUACACUAUGGGCUAGAAGACUAUGGUAAUGAAAUAGAAAAUAAAAUAAAUAGCUCUGAAAAAGCCAACCAUGGGUUGGUUUUAAUGUGGCAAAGUUUAGCUGCUAAUUUUACUCAGCCCAUAGCUGUUUUUUCAUCAAAAGGUCCAGUAAAAGGUGUAGAUCUUGCAAAAAUUGUUAUUAAAGCUAUAAUAUUGCUGGAAAAAUGUAGGAGCAAAAGUCGUUGGCUUGACUAGUGAUGGGGCACUACUAACCGUACUCUAUGGAAGGAACUGGGUAUAAGUGUCAAAAAAGAAGAUUUCAAAAAUUAUUUUAAAAAUCCUUUUGAUUUCAAUAGAAAUAUUUUUGUUUUUUCUGAUACACCUCAUCUAAUGAAAACUGUUCGCAACCGUCUAUAUCAGAAAAACAA
Molecule: long non-coding RNA, 849 nt
Organism: Aphis gossypii (cotton aphid)
Lineage: Eukaryota; Metazoa; Arthropoda; Insecta; Hemiptera; Aphididae
Exons: 3
Source: RefSeq, a predicted model, not a curated record